GAGAACACUUUAGAUGAAUGCCCGGGCAGACACGGUAGCAGCGACUGUACACACGAAGAAGAUGCCGGUGUUGAUUGCAUCAAACCAUCGCCUCAAGCUAAAUUGCCCACGUGUCGUCCAAAUCAGUUUCUGUGCCAGCACUUCAACAUGUGUAUUCCUGCACGCUGGUCAUGUGACGGCGAUAAUGAUUGCGGAAAUAACGCCGAUGAAGCAGACGAUCUUU
Molecule: long non-coding RNA, 223 nt
Organism: Lingula anatina
Lineage: Eukaryota; Metazoa; Brachiopoda; Lingulata; Lingulida; Lingulidae
Source: RefSeq, a predicted model, not a curated record